UUAGUAACGGCGAGCGAACCGAGAAGAGCCCACCAUUGGGAUCGAUCGCCUCCGGCGUCAGAAUUGUAGUCUGGAGAAUCGUCCUCAGUGGCGAACCGGGCCCAAGUCCCUUGGAAGGGGGCGCCAGAGAGGGUGAGAGUACCGUCGGGCCCGGACCCUGUCGCACCACGAGGCCCUGUCAGCGAGUUAGGUUGUUUGGGAAUGCAGCCCCAAUCGGGCGGUAAAUUCCCUCCAAGGGUAAAUAUUGGCGAGAGAUCGAUAGCAAACAAGUACCGCGAGGGAAAGAUGAAAAGGACUUUGAAAAGAGAGUCAAAGAGUGCUUGAAAUUGUCGAGAGGGAAGCGGAUGGGGGCCAGCGAUGUGUCCUGGUCGGAUGCGGAACGGUGCGAGCCGGUCCGCCGAUUGACUCGGGACACCAACCGACGCAGAUUGCAGUAGUGGGCCAAGCCCGGGCUGUGGAAACACUCGCGGAGACGUCGUCAUCGGAUUGUGGACGACAGCUCGCGCCGACUCGGCGUGCCUCAGCACUUGCGCGCUCCGAGUGUUGGCCUGCGAGCUCCCCAUUCAACCCAUCUUAAAACACAGACCAAGGAGUCUGACAUGUGUGCGAGUCAACGGGCGAGCAAACCCGUGAGGUGCAAUGAAGCUGACUGUCGUGAUCUCCCCAUGGGUUGCGCCGCCGACCGACCCCGAUCUCCUGUAAAGG
This 705-nucleotide ribosomal RNA is filed under the name Callerya cinerea. Its description in RNAcentral is "eukaryotic LSU rRNA". It matches the Rfam family "Eukaryotic large subunit ribosomal RNA", at positions 80 to 787 of the family's 3401-position model. The record is from RNAcentral. Lineage: Eukaryota; Viridiplantae; Streptophyta; Magnoliopsida; Fabales; Fabaceae.